RNAcentral lists this ribosomal RNA (788 nucleotides) under uncultured Sulfitobacter sp. Its description in RNAcentral is "bacterial SSU rRNA". It matches the Rfam family "Bacterial small subunit ribosomal RNA", at positions 35 to 868 of the family's 1533-position model. Lineage: Bacteria; Pseudomonadati; Pseudomonadota; Alphaproteobacteria; Rhodobacterales; Roseobacteraceae. The record is from RNAcentral.
GCUGGCGGCAGGCCUAACACAUGCAAGUCGAGCGCAGUCCUUCGGGACCGAGCGGCGGACGGGUUAGUAACGCGUGGGAACAUACCCUUUUCUACGGAAUAGCCUCGGGAAACUGAGAGUAAUACCGUAUAAGCCCUUCGGGGGAAAGAUUUAUCGGGAAAGGAUUGGCCCGCGUUAGAUUAGAUAGUUGGUGGGGUAAUGGCCUACCAAGUCUACGAUCUAUAGCUGGUUUUAGAGGAUGAUCAGCAACACUGGGACUGAGACACGGCCCAGACUCCUACGGGAGGCAGCAGUGGGGAAUCUUAGACAAUGGGCGCAAGCCUGAUCUAGCCAUGCCGCGUGUGUGAUGAAGGUCUUAGGAUCGUAAAGCACUUUCGCCAGGGAUGAUAAUGACAGUACCUGGUAAAGAAACCCCGGCUAACUCCGUGCCAGCAGCCGCGGUAAUACGGAGGGGGUUAGCGUUGUUCGGAAUUACUGGGCGUAAAGCGUACGUAGGCGGAUCAGAAAGUAGGGGGUGAAAUCCCAGGGCUCAACCCUGGAACUGCCUCCUAAACUCCUGGUCUUGAGUUCGAGAGAGGUGAGUGGAAUUCCAAGUGUAGAGGUGAAAUUCGUAGAUAUUUGGAGGAACACCAGUGGCGAAGGCGGCUCACUGGCUCGAUACUGACGCUGAGGUACGAAAGUGUGGGGAGCAAACAGGAUUAGAUACCCUGGUAGUCCACACCGUAAACGAUGAAUGCCAGUCGUCGGGCAGUAUACUGUUCGGUGACACACCUAACGGAUUAAGCAUC